GACGAACGCUGGCGGCGUGCUUAACACAUGCAAGUCGAACGCUGAAGCUUGGUGCUUGCACUGGGUGGGUGAGUGGCGAACGGGUGAGUAAUACGUGAGUAACCUGCCCUUGACUCUGGGAUAAGCCUGGGAAACUGGGUCUAAUACUGGAUACGACAUGUCACCGCAUGGUGGUGUGUGGAAAGGGUUUUACUGGUUUUGGAUGGGCUCACGGCCUAUCAGCUUGUUGGUGGGGUAAUGGCUCACCAAGGCGACGACGGGUAGCCGACCUGAGAGGGUGAACGGCCACACUGGGACUGAGACACGGCCCAGACUGGUACGGGAGGCAGAGGUGGGGAAUAUUGCAGAAUGGGCGGAAGCGUGAUGCAGCGACCCCGCGUGAGGGAUGACGGCUUUCGGGUUGUAAACCUCUUUCAGCGCGGAAGAAGCGAAAGUGACGGUACGUGCAGAGAAAGCGCCGGCUAACUACGUG
Molecule: ribosomal RNA, 472 nt
Filed under: uncultured bacterium
Lineage: Bacteria
Description: partial 16S ribosomal RNA
Rfam family: Bacterial small subunit ribosomal RNA
Source: RNAcentral